RNAcentral lists this long non-coding RNA (454 nucleotides) under Rosa chinensis. Its description in RNAcentral is "sRNA RchiOBHm_Chr2g0096421". Lineage: Eukaryota; Viridiplantae; Streptophyta; Magnoliopsida; Rosales; Rosaceae. The record is from RNAcentral.
CUCCUAUUACAACUCUAUAACUAAACCCUAGUUUGAAGAGGCACACUCAAUGUCGAUAUCCUUCAAUACUCCUCAUUGUGCCGCUCAAACUUGGUAAUGACUCUUUGAUCGUUGCCUCGUUAAAAACCUUACCAGGUAACAAAAACCCUCUGUGGGACAAAAAUAACUCUGGUCGAAGGACAAAAAGAGCACAACACGUCCUUCACUCUUCGAGAUCGAUCAUGUAAACAUCAUUCAUCUUCCUGAUGUCGACAUCUCCCCCUGAUUGCUACAAUCAUGGGAGUUCGGAUAAUUUUCUCAAUCCGAGGCUCUUCCCAUGUUUCUCCAAGGUGGAUUUAGGUAACAACUUAGUGAAUAAGUCCGCUACAUUAUCCUCUGAUCGGAUUUGAUUCACUUCAAUCUUUAGAAGUGAUUAAUGUUGUGCUGAUUGUAAAAGAAUUUAGGCGAUAGAUGC